CCCCUGGUGGUCUAGUGGUUAGGAUGUGGCGCUUUUACUGCCACGGUCCGGGUUCGAUUCCCGGUCAAGGGA
Non-coding RNA from Pipra filicauda (Wire-tailed manakin), 72 nucleotides. NCBI's taxonomy places the organism in Eukaryota, Metazoa, Chordata, Aves, Passeriformes, Pipridae. The record is from the annotation of a RefSeq genome assembly.